Anthonomus grandis grandis is the source of this 1079-nucleotide long non-coding RNA. RefSeq lists it as uncharacterized. The record is from RefSeq and is a predicted model, not a curated record. The transcript has 3 exons. NCBI's taxonomy places the organism in Eukaryota, Metazoa, Arthropoda, Insecta, Coleoptera, Curculionidae.
UGUCUUGCAAAUUAAAUAAAUGUAAUAAAUUAUUAUUCUGUUAAAAAAGACGCCAAUCUAGGCUCGAUUGGACCAAAUGUCGUCGUCAGACUUUUGAUUUAGUGGACUGUAUUAGGUUUUUGAGAUAGAUUGAGAUUUAAUAUGGUUCUUCGUUUUUUCAAGGAAUGUUCGAACGCACAUUAGUGAUGCAUAAUGGCUUACCUUGCUUCGUUGAAGUCGGGCUUGGUAGCGCUACCAGUUCAUCGUUCCUUCCAUAUCAGGCACUCACACUUUAGGUAAAGUUUAAUUUAAGUCUUUAUUAUAAGUUUAAUCUAAUUCGUUAAAUAAUUACUGCAGGAAAAUCACCGGCGGUCAAUAUGUAUAAGGCUGUUAGCGGUUAGCUGUUUUACAAAACCUACUUGCAAGUGUGUGUAGGUACUACUGCGUACUUCCUUCCAAUUUUUGGCAAUGCAUUGCAAUGCAAUGCAAUUUUUGGCCUGCAUUGCGCAAGGGAAAGUGUAGCCGCUCGUUGGAAGAAUAAAAAGGACACGUAUCGCCGUUGAAAAAAAUUCCAAAAUCUCGUUCUGGAGAUGGAGCCAGCAACUUUUCAUCUUCUUGGCCAUAUUUUCAUAUGAUGUCGUUUUUAAAGGAUAGUAUAACUCCGGUCACCAAAUAUGGGAACUAAUCUUCUUCCCAACAUAAAGAUAAGGAUAAUUCUGAAGUUGACGAGGACUCAGAAACCCAAUCCAAUUUUGAUCCAAGAUCUCCGGAUCCGAUAUCAGAAUCAUCAGCGUCGCAACCUGUGACCAGACCAUCAUCUUCAGCUUCUUUUAGAACGACCAAGACGAACAGAAAAAGACUGCUUGACACCAAAGAAGACCGUUUUUUUGAACUUGAAAACAAGAAGCUGCAGCUCUUAUCCCAACCCUUGGUUCAAGAUCCACCUGUAGCAGCUCCAGAAUACGAAAUGUCGGGCACUGAAACCUGGAGACCUGAACCACUACAAACCCAUUCUGCCAACAAUCCAACACCACUGCAGCCACUAUAUCCUAAUAAUAGCAUUAUUCAAGAGAGUACCACAUCAGCAUUUCCACCGGAAU